Jatropha curcas is the source of this 283-nucleotide non-coding RNA. Lineage: Eukaryota; Viridiplantae; Streptophyta; Magnoliopsida; Malpighiales; Euphorbiaceae. The record is from RefSeq and is a predicted model, not a curated record.
GGUUGGCUUUAGAUUGCUUUGGGGGGUGAACCGUGAGCUUCUGAAUUUGAGCUAUUUUGUCAUAUUCAAUCUUCUGCUUGAAAAAGGCGAAUCUGAACCUCAUUUUAUUUGCUGCUGCUUAAAUCAAGCCUUUAUACCAAUAUGUCUGCUUUCUUUCUUGUGUGUUUGAGUGGCUGUCUGGCGAGGUUUUGGCGGGUGACCUGUGAGCCUCUGAUGUUGAGCUCUUUUGUGAUAUUCAAUCUUCUGCUUGAAAAAUAUGAAUCUUCUGCCUGAUAAAGUCGAA